Molecule: long non-coding RNA, 1650 nt
Organism: Anser brachyrhynchus (Pink-footed goose)
Lineage: Eukaryota; Metazoa; Chordata; Aves; Anseriformes; Anatidae
Source: Ensembl
ACAAAGGUUGCUUAAACAAAGUUACUACUUCACAGAGGUACUUAAAGAAAGAAAGAAAAAAAACAGGGCACAUUGGCAUUCAUCUCAGUUAAGUUCAGAUGUUUUCAGUGUACGUGUGAACAUCUGAGCUGGUUUCUCUUAGCUUCCUUGCAAUGAAAACCAAGAAAUGUGCUCUUUGGAGACACAGCUAAUGUGCCUAAUUCUAGCUGUCUCUAGCAUGAGACAAAUUUCUCCCUCAAAGUGCUUUUUCUCUGCAAUGAUACUAAAGGAAGUCAGAGGCUGACUAGCUUGGAAACAGAUGGCUAUAUUUGGUCAAAUGAAUCCCACACAUGAUGUUUUUCAUUCUUGGAAAAAGAAAAUAUAAAACAGCUAUUAAACCUGGCUCUGUGGAAACAUCCUUAUGGGUGGCAUGGGAAUUAAAAACAAAAUCAGUGCGGUGACUACAAGGAUAGGCUGCUAUAGUACCUGGAAAUGUUGUUGGAGUCAUUCCUGUUAUUGAAAGGCUAUUUUUGCUUGUCCAUGAAACUGAAGGUCCAGUGUAUUCAAGUUUCUCUUUGCAAACCCAAGGACACAGAUACGAACAGGAAAGGUCAGGCUGUCACGUAGACAUAUUGCUCCAGCACUUGGGACUUCAGAAAGGCACCAUAUUUCGCAAGACACUUAGAGCAAAUCUGACUGCUGUCCUUCUUGACUCUUGCCUUACAUUUUUGGUUUGCUACCAAAGCAAACAGUAAGUGCCUGGAAAAGUCCUAUUUCUCAUUUCUAGUAACAAUGUUUUUGUUUAUUUGUCCUCAGUGCUUAGUUGAAACCCUAUAAUUCGACAUAUUAAUAUGAUGGCUGAUGAAUCAACUAUAUCCAUUUUUUCCAAAGGAUGUGUAAAGUAGUAGUUUCAGGGUCUUAUCCACGGGGCAUUUGUCACUGGAGUUAGCCACACUGGCAGCAAAAAGGCACACAGUGUUCUACAGGUGACGUGAGGCCGACCUGGCUCACUCCUUCACUCACCGUGUCAAGUGCUACAGUCUACAGAUGCACAGAAGUACCAGGCUGAUGUCUUGCACUGUGCUGGAGGGCUCACCGAAUGAGGACGAUAACCAAAAGGCAUGUUAUAACCACCAGAUUUGACAUUAUUCUACCCUUAACACAGAGAUGUUCAUAUCUCUAGGAAUGUAGAGUUGCCUCAGGAAGAAAGCCACUUAGAGACAUAGCCAUAGAGCACACGUCCAUUACGUCCUGUACUUGGGACUUCUUUCAGCUGUUCAGUCUAGUUACCAAACAUUUUUGAUAAUCCAGUCCAAAAAAUAUUCACUGUGCUUAGCCUAGCAUGGCAAGUAGUUCACUAAUAGAGUUCCUUUUUCUUUGUCUACCAUUCAGAGCACCUAAAUUUUUGCCCCAAAGCAUCCAAUACGAGCAAUGAAGAAACUCUCUUUGUGUUGCAUUUUUUCCUCUUCCUGACAGUGGUACAGACCAAGAGUGCCCCUUUUUUGUUCAGUGCCAGACAAGCCAGACCCAGUUUGUGAUUUCAGAUGCAGAUUGAAGAGCAUAUGGCACAUGAGCAGGUGGCGGUGUCCCAACAUUUCUCCUGGCCCUGUGGACCUCCCUGCUCCAUGCCCAUGAAAGAUGUAGCCAUGAGCAGCUAAGUCCUUGUGGCUU